This is a long non-coding RNA of Fundulus heteroclitus (mummichog), 873 nucleotides long. RefSeq lists it as uncharacterized. The record is from RefSeq and is a predicted model, not a curated record. The transcript is spliced from 3 exons. NCBI's taxonomy places the organism in Eukaryota, Metazoa, Chordata, Actinopteri, Cyprinodontiformes, Fundulidae.
AAACGCGCACAAUGCCACAUUUAAACAGGGAUACAUGCAGCUAAAUUAGAGCUUUAUUAUACCAGCGUGCAUUAAAAUGAUGUAGCUGAAGUGUGCGAGCCGCACUGUUAAAGGCGAGAAAUAGAUAUACAUUGUUUACCAGCAGGCCGGUAGUAUUUCUCGUCAUAAAAUAGUAUAAAUAUUAAUAUAUGUAUUUAAAUAAAAACUACGAGGACAUCUGCUCACUUACACCGUUGCAAUUUAAAGAUAGUCUGCAGUGUAGAGGAUUUAGUGAAAUUUAAUUUAGGCUUAAUGUAGCUGAAAUUCCUGCUCCUGCUGUAGCACAAUAAAAGUUCGUGUCCCUUUAAGGUUAUGAGGCAAUCUAUAAAAGGAUGCUAAUUAAUUACUAUUACCAGGUGCGUCAAACACUGAUUAAGGGAAAGAAAUGAGCCAAUUAGUUCCCAGCACGCGCCCGUGGCGGCAGUUCUGCACGGAAACGCGACUAAACACGCAGCUACAAUCUGUUUCCACCCGGGGAAAAAAAGGGUACAAUAUACAGAUACAAGUACUGUAUAUAAGUAUAAACAGUGAGUUAUAUCACUGCAUGUCCGAAACGAGCAGGAACCCGCCGCCUUGCCUCGAAUGAAGCCAACCAGUCUUGAAAUGAAGAAAGCCUUUACCAAGUGGUCCAGAUGACAUGUCGCGGUAAGACAACUCAACAGAAAGUUGUGAAACCACUGCAGUUCGUCAGCAGCGGGCUUGUGCUGCCCCCUAGUGGAGAGGCGGCGUUCAUUCCGGAUCUGGACAGCAAUGCUGCUGAUGGAGCCACAGAGUCAAAGGUCAACAAGGAGUCCAGAAGACAGCCUCUGUCACAGAUGGACUUUUCAUAACAGC